Molecule: ribosomal RNA, 434 nt
Filed under: uncultured Clostridium sp.
Lineage: Bacteria; Bacillati; Bacillota; Clostridia; Eubacteriales; Clostridiaceae
Description: partial 16S ribosomal RNA
Rfam family: Bacterial small subunit ribosomal RNA
Source: RNAcentral
ACGGGAGGCAGCAGUGGGGAAUAUUGCACAAUGGGGGAAACCCUGAUGCAGCGACGCCGCGUGAGUGAAGAAGUAUUUCGGUAUGUAAAGCUCUAUCAGUAGGGAAGAAAAUGACGGUACCUAACUAAGAAGCCCCGGCUAACUACGUGCCAGCAGCCGCGGUAAUACGUAGGGGGCAAGCGUUAUCCGGAUUUACUGGGUGUAAAGGGAGCGUAGACGGUACGGCAAGUCUGAAGUGAAAUGUCGGGGCUCAACCCCGGAACUGCUUUGGAAACUGUCGAACUAGAGUGCAGGAGAGGUGAGUGGAAUUCCUAGUGUAGCGGUGAAAUGCGUAGAUAUUAGGAGGAACACCGGUGGCGAAGGCGGCUUACUAGACUGUAACUGACGUUGAGGCUCGAAAGCGUGGGGAGCAAACAGGAUUAGAUACCCUGGUA